UAUGCACCUUCCAAAUUAAUAGAGAGCUAGAAAGACAGUCCCACAAAGGACAUCAAUAUUUAAUUAUUAGGACCCUCAGACCCCUGUAUCGUUAAUUAUCUUUGUCUUGUUGCCAACAAAUUAUUGACAACUGCUUCUUCAUCUUAACUGUAAGCUUUGAUAUACCAACACACACUUCGGUUACAAAGCCUGCAAGCGUUGCGUUUUUUACUCACCUUCAUAUCUAAAUUUCCGAUCACUUGUUGAGAUCAUAUCAUGGCUGGUGAACUUGUUGGUGGAGCAUUUCUUAAUGGCUUCCUUAACGUUGUCUUUGACAGGCUCCUUACAACUGAUGCUGUCAACUUGGUCCUGGGAAAGAAGCUUGGCCGUGACUUGGUUGAAAGGCUGAAGACUACUCUGUUGGGUGCUGAAGCUCUUGUUGCUGAUGCUGAGAUGAAGCAGUUUGGCAAUUCAUCGGUGAAGGAGUGGCUCGAUAAUCUCAGGGAUGCUGUUUACUGUGCUGAGGACUUGCUCGACUCUGUCCUCAUCAAAGCUAAAACGGGAGAAAAGGUACGGUCUUCCUGGCCUAUUAGCUUCUUCAAGGACCGGCAUAGGGAGAUGGUAGAUAGGAUGGAAGAGGUGGUUACAAGAAUACAGCAUCUUGGAAACCAAAAAGAUUCCCUUGGUCUUGAAAAGAUUCCCACUGGUGGCUCAUCAUGGAGGACUCCAACCAGUUCUCUUGAGAGAGGGAAUGUGUAUGGCAGGGAGGAUGACCAGAAGGCCUUAGUCCAGAUGCUGAAGGACAACAAUGAGCAUCACCUGUCUGUGAUAGCUAUUGUUGGCAUAGGUGGGGUUGGUAAAACAACUUUAGCCCAAUGGCUGUACAACAAUCAGGAGGAGUUCAUGAAGGGAUUUGAUCUGAAAGCAUGGGUUUGCGUUUCGGAGAAGUUUGAAGUUGCUGAGACUACAAAGAAUGUCAUAAAGCAGCUCCAUGGAGGUACUUGUAGUCUCGAUGAUUUCAAUUCACUUCACAAUGCUUUGAAAGGAGAAUUGUCCAAUAAGAAGUUCUUUCUUGUUCUUGAUGAUGUUUGGAGUGAUGAUGCUGACAAAUGGAGAAAUUUUAUGACCCCUUUCCAACAAAAUGGGAAUAAGGGAAGUAUUCUUCUUCUGACUACUCGGGAAGAAAAUGUUGCUUCCGCAGUUCAAAAUUGUCACCCUUAUUUUCUCAGGAAGUUGUCGGAGGACCAUUGUUGGUCAGUGUUUGCGGAAAAUGCAUCUUUUCCACAAUCAAAUUGGAGUGCAGCACUUGAAGAAAUAGGCAGAAAGAUUGUCAAGAAGUGCGAUGGCUUGCCAUUAGCUGCAGAAACACUUGGUCGCUUGUUACGUACUAAGCAUGAUGUUGAGGAAUGGAACAAGAUACUAAUGAGUCAUAUUUGGGAAUUUUCGGUGGAGAAGAGUAAGAUUAUUCCAGCAUUACUGAUAAGUUACUUCCAUCUUCCUCCACAUUUAAAGGGUUGUUUUGUUUACUGUGCUCUAUAUCCCAAAGAUUAUAAAUUUGAGAAGGAUGAAUUAAUCCUUAUGUGGAUAGCAGAAGAUCUUUUACCACCACCAAAGAGAGGAGAGAGUUUAGAAGAAGUUGGUUGCGAGUGUUUUGAUGAACUUACUUCCAGAUUAUUUUUCACGAAGAGUGAAGGCUUUCGUCAUUAUUUUGUGAUGCAUGAUCUCUUGCAUGACUUAGCAAUAUUCCUUGCUGGAGACUUCUACUGCAACUCAGAAGAACUUGGUAAAGAGGAGGAGAUAAAGAUUCAGACUCGGCAUUUGUUUGUGGAUUUAUAUCAUUGUAGCUCAAAACUUUAUAAUUCUAUUUCUAAAGUAGAAUCUUUGAGAACAUUAUUAUUGUUGGACGAUUUCUCAUCUCCCGACUCCAACACUGAAGCGGCAACAUAUGAGAUAUUAUCAAAGUGUAAAUACUUGAGAGCUUUAUCCUUCUGUAAACGUAAAAUGAGAGGUUUAUCCUUCAGUGUACCUGUUGUGGUGCCUGAUUCAAUUAAAGAAUUAGUCCAUCUGCGCUACUUGGAUCUGUCUUGGUCGAAUAUUAAGACAUUGCCAGAGUCUUUGUGCAACUUGUCUAAUUUGCAAACCUUGAAGUUGUAUCAUUGUCGUAAGCUAACUACGCUGCCUAGUGGUUUGCAUAAACUUUUGAAGUUGCAACAUCUCGAUAUUAGAAAAACUGCUUUGGAAGAAAUGCCCAGAAAAAUAAGCGAAUUGAAAGAGUUGCACGUUUUAAGUUCCUUUGUUGUCGGCAAGCAUGAAGACAAUGGAAUCCAUGAGCUAGGGGGGCUGGAAAAUCUUCAUGGACCCCUUGAGAUUAAGAAGUUGGAGAAUAUUGUUGAUGUGAAAGAAGCAGAGAGUGCAAAGAUAAUGGAUAAGAAGCACAUUCAUCAAUUAUGGUUGGAAUGGUCUUCAGGCGAAGAUAUGGUUUCAAGCUCAGAAAGAGAAAAAGUCAUGCUUGAUAAGUUGCAACCGCAGAAUGGGUUGAAAAAGUUGAAAAUCAAGGGAUACAAGGGUACAAUAUUUCCAGAUUGGUUGGGGAACUGUUCCUACCAAAACAUGACACGCGUAUCUCUAGAGUCUUGCAAGAAUUGCUGCAUGCUGCCCUCACUUGGACAGCUGCCAUCUCUUAAGUCCCUCAGCAUUGGAGUUUUGGAUCAGCUGAGGAGUAUUGGCGAGGAGUUUUACAAGAAUGAAGGAGAUCAUCAUUCUUCGCAUAUUGCACCGUUUCCCUCACUGGAGACUUUGGUAUUUUAUGACAUGCCAUGUUGGGAGGUGUGGCACGUAUCUGAGUCGGAAACAUUUCCUCAACUUAGGAAGUUUCAAAUAACAAAUUGCCCAAUGUUGAAGGAAGAGAUGCUUAAUCAGGUCUUCUUUAGAAUCGUUUCUUCUUUGUCGGAUGUUUCCAAAGUUCGCAAACUAAGUAUAGGCGACGAAAUGUAUCCACAGAUGAAGACCAUGAUUCUUGAUGGGGACAGUUUCUCAGUUAGGGGAUGUGAAUCUGUGAGGGAGUCUGCAUUAAAGGCAAUGAAGAGCAUGAACCAUCUAAGUUGCCUGCAAGAAAUAGACAUCUCAGGGUGUUCCUCUCAUGUAUCCUUUCCGGGCAAUUGUUUUCCCAAAUCUUUGCAAAAGCUGAAACUCUCCCAGUGUAGUAAACUAGAAUUCCCAGAGCAACAGCAGCACAAGUAUGAUUUGGUAGACCUACAAAUGGCAUACAGCUGUGAUUCACUGACUUCCUUGUCGUUGGAUGUCUUUCCCAAUCUCAAGAAUCUCGGGAUAUAUGAGUGUAGGAAUCUGGAAUCAGUGUCAAUGUCAGAGGCACCACACGCUGCUCUUCAACGUCUCUCCAUCAGUAGAUGCGACAAAUUAGUGUCAUUAGCAGGAGAAGGACUGGCUGCACCCAACUUGACUCAUCUCGGCGUCGCAUAUUGCAACAAGUUGGAGGCAUUACCACGUGACAUGAAUAGUCUACUCCCAAGUUUAGACUCUCUCCGGAUAUAUGGCUGCCCAAACAUUUGCAGGUUGCCAGAGGGUGGUUUGUGGCCUAACUUGAAAGAGCUUCAAGUGGGAAUUUGCGAACAACAAAUGAGGGAUCUAUCAUGGAUGCCCAACUUCCACGCCCUCACUCUUCUUGCAAUUGAUGGUGCUAUGUGUAAGAACAUAAAGUCAUACCCAGAGGUGGGUUCGCUGCCUCACCUUCCCUCUCUUACCACUCUGAGACUCUAUCAAUUUCCAAAUCUGGAGACAUUGGAGUGCAACGAGCUUCUCCGCCUCACCUCCCUUCAACAAUUAAUAAUUCAAGAAUGUGAGAACCUGGAGAAUAUGGAAGGAGAAAAGCUGCCUCCCUCUCUCUUGCUACUCAAAAUUCAAUACUGUGAUUUGCUGGGAGAACACUGCAAGAACAAGCAUCAACUAAUCUGGCCCAAAAUUUCCCACAUUCGCACCAUUGAAGUGGACUCCAAACAAAUUGUCUGAACAGAGAUUUCUGUGCAGUUACCUAUCGUGCUAGAAGAUUCAAGGUAAAAGGAAUCAGCAUGAGAGAUAGACUGUCCAACGUGCUAUCUGAAAUCAUUGGUAACAUAUUGUACCAUAUCUAGCCUUAUCAUCAGCAAGAACUAGAAGAUUUUCCCAAGGUGAACUCGAUUUAGCUAAUGUCGUUAAAAGGUCAAGUUGCGCAUCAGACAACAAUUUCAUCUCUAUCAACUUCACUAAUUGUGUGUCAGGAGAAAGCCUUUGAGCUCUGCAUGAGAUACAUUGGGGAAUAAGCAGCAAUACAGAAACAUGGGAAUACCCUUGCUGUCACUUGAGCAGAGAAGGUCAAAUAUUCUGAAACCGAAACAGUGUGAAUUGCAGAAAAGGAGAAGGAAACUUGAAAGGUUGGAGAAUAUGGCAGGAGAAAAGUUGAUGGAUCUAGAGGUAUUGAUAUUUGAAGAAGAAGAGUUGCAGCUUAACCCUUUAUGAAGGUAGCAUAAACUUGAUGGAUCUAGAGGGGCAUCAAGAGAUAGAUAACUGCUAUGCUGGAGGAUUUGCUUUGUUUCUGGUUUCAACCAUUAAAAUGUGCAUUAGGCAGCUUCUGUGGCAAUUGCAACUUGGUGAGCAUCUAAAAAGGAAUGCAACAAUGUUGAAAACAUCAUUGUGUAUUUAUCAAGCAGGUUCUUAUCAUAGUCCUUCAACUUUGAGGUGUGAUCGCUAUCCAUAUUCUCUAGCCAAAAAGUUCGUAAACAACCGCUGUCUAUUGUAUCAUUGAUUUCACCAUUUAGUUUAUGUGGUCAUGUUCUUGGACAAGAGUUCUGCAUGUAUGAUUUGUAGUGCUUGUAAGUUUUGAGACUUGCUUGUAGCUUUAUUUGGAAAAUAGUGAAUAUUUUUAGCUUCCCGUGGGUUUUUUUCCCUCUCACAUUGAGAGG
This is a non-coding RNA of Arachis ipaensis, 4934 nucleotides long. NCBI's taxonomy places the organism in Eukaryota, Viridiplantae, Streptophyta, Magnoliopsida, Fabales, Fabaceae. The record is from RefSeq and is a predicted model, not a curated record.